Molecule: non-coding RNA, 1570 nt
Organism: Pseudopodoces humilis (Tibetan ground-tit)
Lineage: Eukaryota; Metazoa; Chordata; Aves; Passeriformes; Paridae
Source: RefSeq, a predicted model, not a curated record
AAGAUGGCGUACCAGACGUUCCGGCAGGAGUACCUGCAGGUGCCGCCCGUGACCCGGGCCUACACCACCGCCUGCGUCCUCACCACCGCCGCCGUGCAAUUAGAACUUAUCACGCCCUUCCAGCUGUAUUUCAACCCUGAGUUAAUAUUUAAGCACUUUCAAAUAUGGAGGUUAAUCACAAACUACUUGUUCUUUGGACCAGUUGGCUUUAAUUUUUUAUUUAACAUGAUCUUUUUAUACCGGUACUGCCGCAUGCUUGAGGAAGGCUCUUUCCGGGGUCGGACGGCAGAUUUUGUAUUUAUGUUCCUUUUUGGAGGACUUUUAAUGACUCUUUUUGGGCUGUUUGUGAACUUGGUGUUCCUGGGCCAGGCGUUCACCAUCAUGCUGGUGUACGUCUGGAGCCGCAGGAACCCCUAUGUCCGCAUGAACUUCUUCGGUCUCCUCAUCUUCCAAGCCCCAUUUCUACCCUGGGUAUUGAUGGGCUUUUCACUGCUUUUAGGGAACUCCAUCAUUGUGGAUCUCCUGGGCAUUGCUGUUGGGCAUAUAUAUUUUUUCUUAGAGGAUGUCUUUCCCAAUCAGCCUGGUGGUGGGAGGCUCCUGAGAACACCGUCUGUCCUGAAAGCAAUAUUUGACACACCAGAGGAUGACCCCAACUACAACCCCUUGCCCGAGGAGCGGCCGGGGGGGUUUGCGUGGGGAGAGGGGCAGCGCCUCGGGGGAUAAUCCUGUGCCAAAACCCCUGGGAGAGACUGGCCUGGGCCCAGUCCCACGUGGAGAUUCUCCUUCCCCAGCGCAGAGAGGACUCUCUGACAGCUCUAUGGUUUGGAAUAGAAGCACUUUAUGAAAUGGCAGUCUCACCCAAGGCACUCCAGCGCCUUUCCCCAGUCAGGGAAUUCAUUGUGCCGGACAUAAUCUAAAUCCAGUGGAGCCAAAAAUGUAAAACUGGAAACUGUUUCCUGUUGACUUCAGUUAACAAGGCCACGCAAGUACUUGUUUAAAGUGAUUUCUAAAGCAUUUUUUUCAAGUUAUUUGAUACAUGAAACUCUAUGGGAAACUUUACAGGGGACAAACCCAGCUUUUUGGGUUUAACUAAUUUUUUUUAUUCUUGGAUAAAACAACUACAAGAUGAUUGAAAGGCUAAGUCACUAUUUCAAUGGCAGAAGGAUUUUUAAUCUGAGGUGCUGCUGCCUCCAGUCAUCUUUGAAUUGCAGGGAGCACAACAUGCAGCAUAAUGCAGCUUCUCACUCUGCCAGUUCAGUGUUUGAGAGCCCCUCCUUAGCUUGUUACUGGCACAAGUCCUGAACGGGAACAUGUCCCGACCGUGCCGGCAGCCGGCUCUCUGCCCUCCUUGCUUGCAUUUGGCUGCGGUUUGGGGUCCGGGAUUUUUCCGAGGGUCCCCGGCCCCGAGGGGCUCUCGGAGCAGGUAGCGGUGCAAAUGGCGGCGACAUCGAGACUACAACUCCCAGGAUGCUCCUCGCAGCGUCGCGCUGUGACGUCAUUGCUGCGCCAGGGAGCCUGUGGAGCGCGGCCGGAGCCCCGGGACAGCCCCGGCGGGACGGGACAGGACGGG